GUUGGAAUCAGCUGCCAUGAUUUUGGUGCAGUCCUACAAAGAGCUGGGGAGGACAUCAGAAAUACUGAAGCAGCUGAAAAUGCUAUUUGGAUCAGUCAGUGCUGUUCCUGCCCAAGUUUUCCUUACUGGGGUGUGUCUCCAGAUACCAGAUGGCCCUUCUGCUGAAGUUCAAGAAAUUCUAGAGGAGUUCCUUAUGAAGUGGAGAUAUGUUGAUGGAAAGUAUUAUACUGUUGCAAG
This 237-nucleotide unclassified non-coding RNA is filed under the name Hevea brasiliensis (rubber tree). Lineage: Eukaryota; Viridiplantae; Streptophyta; Magnoliopsida; Malpighiales; Euphorbiaceae. The record is from RNAcentral.